Molecule: ribosomal RNA, 492 nt
Filed under: uncultured bacterium
Lineage: Bacteria
Description: partial 16S ribosomal RNA
Rfam family: Bacterial small subunit ribosomal RNA
Source: RNAcentral
AGUGAACGCUGGCGGUAGGCCUAACACAUGCAAGUCGAACGGCAGCACAGUAAGAGCUUGCUCUUACGGGUGGCGAGUGGCGGACGGGUGAGGAAUACAUCGGAAUCUACUUUUUCGUGGGGGAUAACGUAGGGAAACUUACGCUAAUACCGCAUACGACCUACGGGUGAAAGCAGGGGAUCUUCUGACCUUGCGCGAUUGAAUGAGCCGAUGUCGGAUUAGCUAGUUGGCGGGGUAAAGGCCCACCAAGGCGACGAUCCGUAGCGGGUCUGAGAGGAUGAUCAGCCACACUGGAACUGAGACACGGUCCAGACUCCUACGGGAGGCAGCAGUGGGGAAUAUUGGACAAUGGGCGCAAGCCUGAUCCAGCCAUACCGCGUGGGUGAAGAAGGCCUUCGGGUUGUAAAGCCCUUUUGUUGGGAAAGAAAAGCAGCAGGUUAAUACCCCGCUGUUCUGACGGUACCCAAAGAAUAAGCACCGGCUAACUUCGUG